This 68-nucleotide transfer RNA is filed under the name Typhlatya sp. JR2016. RNAcentral's name for it is "tRNA-Thr". It matches the Rfam family "tRNA". Rfam says of the family: Transfer RNA (tRNA) molecules are approximately 80 nucleotides in length. The record is from RNAcentral. Lineage: Eukaryota; Metazoa; Arthropoda; Malacostraca; Decapoda; Atyidae.
GCUUAAAUAGUUUAAUUUAAAACGCUGGUCUUGUAAACCAGAAAAGAAAUCUGAAUUUUCUUUAAGCA